CCGAGUUUACAACUCCCAAACCCAAUGUGAACGUUACCAAACUGUUGCCUCGGCGGGAUCUCUGCCCCGGGUGCGUCGCAGCCCCGGACCAAGGCGCCCGCCGGAGGACCAACCAAACUCUAUAUACCCCUCGGGUUUUUUUAUAAUUUGAGCCUUCUCGGGCCUAGUAGGUUUUACGAAAUGAAUAA
This 188-nucleotide unclassified non-coding RNA is filed under the name soil metagenome. RNAcentral's name for it is "partial internal transcribed spacer 1". The record is from RNAcentral.